CUCUGGAAUGAUGCCCCUCAGUGGAGCAGACUUCUAGAAGUUCUGAUUUUAUUGCUCUGCUGCUCUCUCACUUGCCGGGAGCUGGCCCAUUCCCCUGAAGUCUAUCUUCUCGUCACUUUGGAUUCACUUCUCCACAAGUCCCACCUUCUAAACCAGAGAGCAGCAUCUAGGGGAUGAGAACAUCCCCCCGUCGGCAUCCAACAAAGAGCUGAAGACCUCAGACCUCCAAAUUUAAGGAACUGAAUGCAGCCAAUAAUCUGGAUGCAUUUAGGAGUAAAUCCUUCCUCAGAACUGCCAGCUCCAACAAAGCUUGACAAAGAGGAAAAUAAAGUUCAGUUAAGAACCUGAGACUUCAAAUAUCAAAUACCAAAGAUCACAAGCAGGCAGAGAGACAGGCAGAGAGAAGGGGAAGCAGGCU
Lutra lutra (Eurasian river otter) is the source of this 418-nucleotide long non-coding RNA. RefSeq lists it as uncharacterized. The record is from RefSeq and is a predicted model, not a curated record. Lineage: Eukaryota; Metazoa; Chordata; Mammalia; Carnivora; Mustelidae. The transcript is spliced from 4 exons.